UGCCAGCCGCCGCGGUAAUACGGAGGGGGUUAGCGUUGUUCGGAAUUACUGGGCGUAAAGCGCGCGUAGGCGGAUUGGAAAGUUGGGGGUGAAAUCCCGGGGCUCAACCCCGGAACUGCCUCCAAAACUGCCAGUCUAGAGGAUGUGAGAGGUGAACAGAACUUAUGGUGUAGGGGUGAAAUCCGUUGAUAUCAUAGGGAAUACCAAAUGCGAAGGCAGUUCACUGGCACAUUCCUGACACUGAGGCAUGAAAGCUAGGGUAGCGAACGGGAUUAGAUA
This 279-nucleotide ribosomal RNA is filed under the name uncultured bacterium. Its description in RNAcentral is "partial 16S ribosomal RNA". It matches the Rfam family "Bacterial small subunit ribosomal RNA", at positions 506 to 784 of the family's 1533-position model. The record is from RNAcentral.